GUCUAUGGCCAUGCCACCCUGAACAAGCCCCAUGUCUGAUCCCGGAAGCUAAGUAGGGUCUGGUUAGUACUUGGAUGGGAGACCACCUAGGAAGACCAGGUGCUGUAGGCA
RNAcentral lists this ribosomal RNA (111 nucleotides) under Pteropus alecto (black flying fox). Lineage: Eukaryota; Metazoa; Chordata; Mammalia; Chiroptera; Pteropodidae. The record is from RNAcentral.